This 439-nucleotide ribosomal RNA is filed under the name uncultured bacterium. RNAcentral describes it as "partial 16S ribosomal RNA". It matches the Rfam family "Bacterial small subunit ribosomal RNA", at positions 339 to 795 of the family's 1533-position model. The record is from RNAcentral.
CUACGGGUCGCACCAGUGGGGAAUCUUGGACAAUGGGCGCAAGCCUGAUCCAGCCAUGCCGCGUGAGUGAAGAAGGCCUUAGGGUCGUAAAGCUCUUUCGCCAGAGAUGAUAAUGACAGUAUCUGGUAAAGAAACCCCGGCUAACUCCGUGCCAGCAGCCGCGGUAAUACGGGGGGGGUUAGCGUUGUUCGGAAUUACUGGGCGUAAAGCGCGCGUAGGCGGAUUAGUCAGUCAGAGGUGAAAUCCCAGGGCUCAACCCUGGAACUGCCUUUGAUACUGCUAGUCUUGAGUUCGGGAGAGGUGAGUGGAAUUCCGAGUGUAGAGGUGAAAUUCGUAGAUAUUCGGAGGAACACCAGUGGCGAAGGCGGCUCACUGGCUCGAUACUGACGCUGAGGUGCGAAAGUGUGGGGAGCAAACAGGAUUAGAUACCCCGGUAGUC